This is a long non-coding RNA of Acinonyx jubatus (cheetah), 615 nucleotides long. RefSeq lists it as uncharacterized. The record is from RefSeq and is a predicted model, not a curated record. The transcript is spliced from 5 exons. Lineage: Eukaryota; Metazoa; Chordata; Mammalia; Carnivora; Felidae.
GAACCAAAGAAGGGUCUUUCCCUCGGCCACAUUCAAAGCUGGCACCCAUUAUGGAUGAUUUCAUAAGCGGGAACAGCCAGCAUACCUAACGCAACAUGAACUGCCUCCAAAAUCAGAGGCUUAUCAGGGACUGUACCUCUUUCUAGGGGUGGUCCUAUUAUCUUAUUCCAUCAGUAAGUGGAUCAGUGUGAUAUUCUGUAGAAGGGUGAGAUGAUCAAGAUGCUUAAAGAUUUAAUUAUGAUACAAAGAUGGAGAAUUAGCUUAGCUCUAGGUGAAUACAGGAAAGAUGCAUAACUGUUCCUUCCAGAUUCCAAGAUGCAUAAUUUUUCACGUUGAACAUCUCUAAACUUGGGAUGGAUCUCAAAACCACUGUUUUAUCAGUUAAUGGCAGUGUUGUUUCCGUGUCUUUUUGGCUCAUGCGACAAUGGCUCCUUUUGCAACACUGCUCCGGGUCUAAGAAUACUUUGGUAAGGUCUGCAAUCUGAUGCCAAACCAUGAUUGCCAAGUGUAUUCCAGACAAUGCCAGAAUGUCAUUUACCUUUAUUCAAUUAUGAAAUGACAAGAGGUGUCUUUCCAAGUCUAUCCAUAAAGCUCUCAUUGUUCUUGUCCAUCAUG